GACAGAGGGUGCAAACGUUGCUCGGAAUCACUGGGCGUAAAGCGCGUGUAGGCGGGCAUGCAAGUCGGGUGUGAAAUCCCUGGGCUCAACCCAGGAACUGCAUCCGAAACUGCAUGUCUAGAGUGUCGGAGAGGGAAGCGGAAUUCCUGGUGUAGAGGUGAAAUUCGUAGAUAUCAGGAGGAACACCGGUGGCGAAGGCGGCUUCCUGGACGAUGACUGACGCUGAGACGCGAAAGCGUGGGGAGCAAACAGG
Molecule: unclassified non-coding RNA, 253 nt
Filed under: uncultured Sandaracinaceae bacterium
Lineage: Bacteria; Pseudomonadati; Myxococcota; Polyangiales; Sandaracinaceae
Description: contains 16S-23S intergenic spacer region
Rfam family: Bacterial small subunit ribosomal RNA
Source: RNAcentral